Molecule: ribosomal RNA, 447 nt
Filed under: uncultured bacterium
Lineage: Bacteria
Description: bacterial SSU rRNA
Rfam family: Bacterial small subunit ribosomal RNA
Source: RNAcentral
UGGGGAAUCUUGGACAAUGGGCGCAAGCCUGAUCCAGCCAUGCCGCGUGAGUGAAGAAGGCCUUCGGGUUGUAAAGCUCUUUUACCAGGGACGAUAAUGACGGUACCUGGAGAAUAAGCCCCGGCAAACUUCGUGCCAGCAGCCGCGGUAAUACGAAGGGGGCUAGCGUUGUUCGGAAUCACUGGGCGUAAAGCGCACGUAGGCGGAUUGUUUAGUCAGGGGUGAAAUCCCGGGGCUCAACCUCGGAACUGCCUUUGAUACUGGCAAUCUCGAGUCCGAUAGAGGUGGGUGGAAUUCCUAGUGUAGAGGUGAAAUUCGUAGAUAUUAGGAAGAACACCGGUGGCGAAGGCGGCCCACUGGAUCGGUACUGACGCUGAGGUGCGAAAGCGUGGGGAGCAAACAGGAUUAGAUACCCCAGUAGUCCCUGAGCGGGCUGGCAAGGCGCAU